UACGGAGGGGGCUAGCGUUGUCCGGAAUUAUUGGGCGUAAAGAGCUCGUAGGCGGUCUGUCGCGUCGAUCGUGAAAACUUGGGGCUUAACCCUGAGCUUGCGGUCGAUACGGGCAUGACUGGAGUUCGGCAGGGGAGACUGGAAUUCCUGGUGUAGCGGUGAAAUGCGCAGAUAUCAGGAGGAACACCGGUGGCGAAGGCGGGUCUCUGGGCCGAUACUGACGCUGAGGAGCGAAAGCGUGGGGAUCAAACAGG
RNAcentral lists this ribosomal RNA (254 nucleotides) under uncultured bacterium. RNAcentral's name for it is "partial 16S ribosomal RNA". It matches the Rfam family "Bacterial small subunit ribosomal RNA", at positions 524 to 776 of the family's 1533-position model. The record is from RNAcentral.